UAACAUUAAAACAACAAAUAAAUAUAUUAUAAAAUAACAAAACCAACAAUGUUUCACUCAUCGCACAAAUAUAGUUUUCAAUAUAGUUUCUAUGUGCGCUUAUACCAUUGUUGAUACUAUAAUAACCAAUCAUUUAAGCCGACGAAAUCAUAAUUAUAUAAGUAGACAAGGUUUCAAACAUUUCCAAUACAUUCAAUAACAAGUUAGGGCAAGCCCCUCAGGGCACAGCCCUGUAGUGCAAAAGACAUGAGUGAGAUUAUCUCACGCCUUGUUGAAGUGUUGGAUUCGAUUCCUAAUACAUGGAAUUAGACUCCUUGUAGGCGCAGUGUACAGACAACUCUUGUUUCCUGACCCGUUAAGGCACAUCCCUCGAUUUACCUCCCUCACAAAGCUCUAAGGACGGGACAGUGGAGGCCCUCAAAGUUGGGAUUCAACCUUUUAAUAACAAGUUAGGGCAAGUCAUUCAUUGCUUACCUGAAAAGUAGAAUUUUGACAAAAAUUAUGAAAUCACACUUUUGAGAAUU
Molecule: long non-coding RNA, 524 nt
Filed under: Olea europaea (common olive)
Lineage: Eukaryota; Viridiplantae; Streptophyta; Magnoliopsida; Lamiales; Oleaceae
Description: long non-coding RNA (OEUR_LNC003242)
Source: RNAcentral